GAAAUGCGAGAAGUAAUGUGAAUUGCAGAAUUCAGUGAAUCAUCGAAUCUUUGAACGCACAUUGCGCCCGCCAGCACUCUGGCGGGCAUGCCUGUUCGAGCGUCAUUUCAACCCUCAGAACCCCUUGCGGGAUCUGGCGUUGGGGAUUGGCAUCCAGCCAGCCCCGAAAUCUAGUGGCGGUCCCUCCGCGACCUCCCCUGUGCAGUAGCGAUACCUCGCAGCGGGACAGCGGUCUGACCACGCCGUAAAACCCCCAACUUCUCAAGGUUGACCUCGAAUCAGGUAGGAAUGCCCGCUGAACUUAAGC
RNAcentral lists this unclassified non-coding RNA (307 nucleotides) under plant metagenome. Its description in RNAcentral is "partial contains 5.8S ribosomal RNA, internal transcribed spacer 2, and large subunit ribosomal RNA". The stretch from base 1 to 105 matches the Rfam family "5.8S ribosomal RNA", at positions 50 to 154 of the family's 154-position model. The record is from RNAcentral.